Molecule: ribosomal RNA, 253 nt
Filed under: uncultured bacterium
Lineage: Bacteria
Description: partial 16S ribosomal RNA
Rfam family: Bacterial small subunit ribosomal RNA
Source: RNAcentral
UACGUAGGGGGCGAGCGUUGUCCGGAAUCAUUGGGCGUAAAGCGCGUGUAGGCGGCCCGGCAAGUCCGCUGUGAAAGUCCAGGGCUCAACCCUGGGAUGCCGGUGGAUACUGUCGGGCUCGAGUCCGGAAGAGGCGAGUGGAAUUCCUGGUGUAGCGGUGAAAUGCGCAGAUAUCAGGAGGAACACCAAUGGCGAAGGCAGCUCGCUGGGACGUGACUGACGCUGAGGCGCGAAAGCGUGGGGAGCAAACAGG